This 253-nucleotide ribosomal RNA is filed under the name uncultured bacterium. RNAcentral describes it as "partial 16S ribosomal RNA". It matches the Rfam family "Bacterial small subunit ribosomal RNA", at positions 524 to 776 of the family's 1533-position model. The record is from RNAcentral.
UACGUAGGGUGCAAGCGUUGUCCGGAAUUAUUGGGCGUAAAGGGCGCGUAGGCGGUUUGUUAAGUCAGCUGUGAAAGCCCGGGGCUCAACCCCGGAGAGUCGACUGAUACUGGCAGACUAGAGUACGGAAGAGGUAGCUGGAAUUCCCGGUGUAGCGGUGAAAUGCGCAGAUAUCGGGAGGAACACCAAUGGCGAAGGCAGCUCGCUGGGACGGUACUGACGCUGAGACGCGAAAGCGUGGGGAGCAAACAGG